GCCAGAAUAGUGUAGUGGUUUCAGUGUUGGACUAUGAAUCUAGAGACCAAGGUUCGAUUCCCAGCUCAGCCA
This is a non-coding RNA of Phrynosoma platyrhinos (Desert horned lizard), 72 nucleotides long. Lineage: Eukaryota; Metazoa; Chordata; Lepidosauria; Squamata; Phrynosomatidae. The record is from the annotation of a GenBank genome assembly.